UCAAACUUGGUCAUUUAGAGGAAGUAAAAGUCGUAACAAGGUUUCCGUAGGUGAACCUGCGGAAGGAUCAUUACUGAGGUUGUGCGGUUUGCCCUGCGAGGCGGCCGGUCACCCGUCCUUAUGUCAUAUGCAGCGGAACCGAGUCGGUGACGGUGGGGCCCCCCCUGAUCGGGGGAGCUUUACGCCGGAGCUGUGCGGGUCCGAGAGAUUCACUUCGGCGGAGGUGUUGUGAGACUCCUGGCGACGGGGGGCUCAUGACCGCCGCCGGUUUUAUAACCAAAGCCUGUAUAGCUGUGAAAUGUCUGAAGAAACACGAAACAAAAAAAAAAAGAAAAAACUUUCAACAACGGAUCUCUUGGCUCUGGCAUCGAUGAAGAACGCAGC
This 384-nucleotide unclassified non-coding RNA is filed under the name uncultured fungus. Its description in RNAcentral is "partial contains small subunit ribosomal RNA, internal transcribed spacer 1, and 5.8S ribosomal RNA". The stretch from base 1 to 73 matches the Rfam family "Eukaryotic small subunit ribosomal RNA", at positions 1759 to 1831 of the family's 1831-position model. The record is from RNAcentral. Lineage: Eukaryota; Fungi.